CCACGGGGGGCUGCAGUGGGGAAUAUUGGACAAUGGGCGAAAGCCUGAUCCAGCCAUGCCGCGUGUGUGAAGAAGGCCUUCGGGUUGUAAAGCACUUUCAGUGGGGAAGAAAGCCUUGGGGCUAAUACCCUCGAGGAAGGACAUCACCCACAGAAGAAGCACCGGCUAACUCCGUGCCAGCAGCCGCGGUAAUACGGAGGGUGCGAGCGUUAAUCGGAAUUACUGGGCGUAAAGCGCGCGUAGGCGGUCUGAUAAGCCGGUUGUGAAAGCCCCGGGCUCAACCUGGGAACGGCAUCCGGAACUGUCAGGCUAGAGUGCAGGAGAGGAAGGUAGAAUUCCCGGUGUAGCGGUGAAAUGCGUAGAGAUCGGGAGGAAUACCAGUGGCGAAGGCGGCCUUCUGGACUGACACUGACGCUGAGGUGCGAAAGCGUGGGUAGCAAACAGGAUUAGAUACCCGAGUAGUC
RNAcentral lists this ribosomal RNA (464 nucleotides) under Vreelandella stevensii. RNAcentral describes it as "partial 16S ribosomal RNA". It matches the Rfam family "Bacterial small subunit ribosomal RNA", at positions 339 to 795 of the family's 1533-position model. Lineage: Bacteria; Pseudomonadati; Pseudomonadota; Gammaproteobacteria; Oceanospirillales; Halomonadaceae. The record is from RNAcentral.